CCUACGGGAGACAGCAGUGGGGAAUAUUGCACAAUGGGGGAAACCCUGAUGCAGCGACGCCGCGUGAGUGAAGAAGUAUUUCGGUAUGUAAAGCUCUAUUAGCAGGGAAGAAAAUGACGGUACCUGAGUAAGAAGCCCCGGCUAACUACGUGCCAGCAGCCGCGGUAAUACGUAGGGGGCAAGCGUUAUCCGGAUUUACUGGGUGUAAAGGGAGCGUAGACGGCAGCACAAGUCUGGAGUGAAAUGCCGGGGCUUAACCCCGGAACUGCUGUGGAAACUGUGCAGCUAGAGUGCAGGAGAGGUAAGUGGAAUUCCUAGUGUAGCGGUGAAAUGCGUAGAUAUUAGGAGGAACACCAGUGGCGAAGGCGGCUUACUGGACUGUAACUGACGUUGAGGCUCGAAAGCGUGGGGAGCAAACAGGAUUAGAUACCCUUGUAGUC
This 440-nucleotide ribosomal RNA is filed under the name uncultured bacterium. Its description in RNAcentral is "partial 16S ribosomal RNA". It matches the Rfam family "Bacterial small subunit ribosomal RNA", at positions 338 to 795 of the family's 1533-position model. The record is from RNAcentral.